RNAcentral lists this non-coding RNA (199 nucleotides) under Alistipes finegoldii. Lineage: Bacteria; Pseudomonadati; Bacteroidota; Bacteroidia; Bacteroidales; Rikenellaceae. The record is from RNAcentral.
UUACUUUUGCGUCGCAUCGGUUCCCGAAACGCCCCGGAAGGGCGCGGGGAUUAAAAGGGAAUGCCGUGAAAUCCGGCAACAGUUCCCGCUGCUGUAAGUUACGCAACAUGUUCCGGCACUCUUUGGCCACUGUCCUCCGGGACGGGAAGGCGCCGGAACGGUAACGAGUCAGAAGACCUGCCGCAUGCCGUUCAACCAA